UACGUAGGGGGCGAGCGUUGUCCGGAAUCAUUGGGCGUAAAGAGCGUGUAGGCGGCUUGGCAAGUCUGACGUGAAAGCCCGCGGCUCAACCGCGGAUUGUCGUUGGAAACUGCCUCGCUAGAGUCCGGAAGAGGAGAGCGGAAUUCCUGGUGUAGCGGUGGAAUGCGCAGAUAUCAGGAAGGACACCCGUGGCGAAGGCGGCUCUCUGGGACGGUACUGACGCUGAGACGCGAAAGCGUGGGGAGCGAACAGG
This 253-nucleotide ribosomal RNA is filed under the name uncultured bacterium. RNAcentral describes it as "partial 16S ribosomal RNA". It matches the Rfam family "Bacterial small subunit ribosomal RNA", at positions 524 to 776 of the family's 1533-position model. The record is from RNAcentral.